UUGGAUUGUUCCAACCAGGAAGCAACAUCCCAAUUUCUCUAUCAUCAUCCAUCUUUCAAAUUGUAUUCUUUCUCAUUCCAUCAACUCUACCAUGAUCAAAAGAUACCACCAAAUCGCACAAAAACUAUAUUUCUAUUCAUCCUCCAAGCUACCUCAACCUUGAAGCAUAAAUAAGUGAAUACGAUAAAAUUGCUUGAAAC
Molecule: unclassified non-coding RNA, 200 nt
Filed under: Hevea brasiliensis (rubber tree)
Lineage: Eukaryota; Viridiplantae; Streptophyta; Magnoliopsida; Malpighiales; Euphorbiaceae
Source: RNAcentral